This is a long non-coding RNA of Daphnia pulex (common water flea), 2152 nucleotides long. RefSeq lists it as uncharacterized. The transcript has 5 exons. Lineage: Eukaryota; Metazoa; Arthropoda; Branchiopoda; Diplostraca; Daphniidae. The record is from RefSeq and is a predicted model, not a curated record.
GGCGAUAGAAAAUCAGUCGAGUGAGCAUCUCCGACACGGAAACAACUGCAGCGCACUCACCAUCUGCCUUCUUCACCGUAUUGCCAGUUCGCAAUCAUGGUUAACUAAGGCGUCGUAUGCUGUUGGAUGUUGUAUCGACCACUGGUGUACCGAUGUCUCCUGGGGUAUGGCGGAUGCCAAACCGCAACGCUGCCGCCUUACUACACAACAACAACAUACGCAACAACCGGUUCCUAGACCACCGAGGUUCCAGAGCAUUACACCACAAUUGAUGAUGCCCCGAGCUGCUACACCGAAGCCCGAAGUACAACUCUACCCCGAGUUACAUCCUUAGAGAGCCGGACUACUACACCGAUUUUCUAAAGUACUACAUCACUAAGGCACCGGAAUACUACUCUUCUAUGUAUGCUGCCCCUGCCUACUACACUGAGGCCCAGGCCCCGCAUUACUACAACACCGAAGCGCUCAAGUACUAUACACUACAACCUACGCUGCCCCGAGCUACUACACUUACGUCCCGAAGUAUUACUGUGCGUAAAAGGAGCCGUCUACAAAGAUGGAGUCGUGCCCGAACUGCUGUGCCCUAUCUGUCGCCAACUGCAUCCCUCAUCGUGUAACCGAUUCUUCAUUCUGGAUAACUAUGGCGUCGUGCUCCUGAUGGGUGUUGUAUCGUUGAUGGCUGGGUCGACCACUGGUGUACCGAUAUCUCCUGGGCAUGGCGGAAGCCAAACCGCAACGCUGCCGCCUUACUACACAACAACAACAUACGCAACAACCGGUUCCUACACCACCAAGGCUCCAGAGUAUUACACCACAAUUGAUGAUGCCCCGAGCUGCUACACCGAAUCCCCGAAUAUAACUCUGCCCUGAGUUACAUCACCAGAGAGGUGGAUUACUACACCGAGGCUCCCAAGUACUACAUCACUAAAGCACCGGAGUUUUAUACCACAACUUUCGCUGCCCCGAGUCACUACACUGACGCCCUGAAGUAUUACUCUGCCCCGAGUUACUACACCACCAAGGCGACGGAGUACUACACGACUACGUAUGCUGCCCCUGCCUACUACACCGAGGCCCCGCAUUACUACAACACCGGAGCGUUCAAGUACUACACUACAACCUGCGCUGCCCCGAGCUAUUACACCUACGUCCCGAAUUAUAACUGUGCGUAAAGGAGUCGUCAAAAAAAGAAGUCGUGCCCAAACUGCAGUGCAUUAUCUGUCACCAACUGCAUUCCUCCAACCAUUCGCAAUUAUGGGCGUCGUAUGCUGUUGGGUGUUGUAUCGUUGAUAGGUGGGUCGACCACUGGUGUACCGAUGUCUCCUGGGCAUGGCGCAAACCAAUCCGCAACGCCACCGCCUUCCUACACAACUUACGCAACGACCGGUUCCUGCACUGAGGUCUUCCAGUACUACACCACUGAAGCACCGGAGUUUUAUACCACAACUUACGCUGUCCCGAGCCACUACACUGACGCCCUGAAGUAUAACUCUGCCCCGAGUUACUACACCAUCUAGGCGACGGAGUACUACAUGACUACGUAUGCUGCUGCCUAUCCUACUACACCCAGGCUCCUAAGUUCCCGCUUAUUACUCCACCAAAACAGCCGAGUACUACACCGAAGUACUACUCUACCCCAAUCUACACAACGCAGUCCCGACUUGCUACACAAAAGCUGCUCUUUCGUGCUACGUCGAAGUGAAACACUACACUGAUGCUCCAGUCUACUACACCACGACCUACGCUACACCUAGCUACAACACCGCAGCCCCAAGUACUACACCGAAGAAGCUGCCUAUUACACAACCACGUACGCUGCCUGGUAUAACACAUCGAGGAAUUUAAGUAUUACCCUGCUUCAAACUACUACCAUCUGAGGUUCAUAUGUAUUAAACCAGCAAUUCUCCCGACUAUGUCACCACUACUCAUGUUGCUCAUACCUAUACAUCGAAGUUCUGAAAUAUUUCUCUGGUUGUGUUGAAAGAUUGCUGAAAUACAAGUUUGAUUGAUAAAUCACAAGUGCAUGUCUAUUUUCUCCUCAAGUACCUUUCCUCUUGCUGAUAAUUUCGUGAUGUGAGAAACUAUUUCUGAGUGCUAUGUAAACUUACAAAUAAUUGUUCCUGUAAAAUACAUCAAUAAAAAUUCAAACUCA